RNAcentral lists this ribosomal RNA (2925 nucleotides) under Salmonella enterica subsp. enterica serovar Enteritidis str. EC20090884. Its description in RNAcentral is "bacterial LSU rRNA". It matches the Rfam family "Bacterial large subunit ribosomal RNA". RNAcentral also lists the same sequence under 6 other names. Lineage: Bacteria; Pseudomonadati; Pseudomonadota; Gammaproteobacteria; Enterobacterales; Enterobacteriaceae. The record is from RNAcentral.
GGGUUGUGAGGUUAAGCGACUAAGCGUACACGGUGGAUGCCCUGGCAGUCAGAGGCGAUGAAGGGCGUGCUAAUCUGCGAUAAGCGCCGGUAAGGUGAUAUGAACCGUUAUAACCGGCGAUACCCGAAUGGGGAAACCCAGUGUGAUUCGUCACACUAUCAUUAACUGAAUCCAUAGGUUAAUGAGGCGAACCGGGGGAACUGAAACAUCUAAGUACCCCGAGGAAAAGAAAUCAACCGAGAUUCCCCCAGUAGCGGCGAGCGAACGGGGAGGAGCCCAGAGCCUGAAUCAGCAUGUGUGUUAGUGGAAGCGUCUGGAAAGGCGCGCGAUACAGGGUGACAGCCCCGUACACAAAAGCGCAUGUGCUGUGAGCUCGAUGAGUAGGGCGGGACACGUGGUAUCCUGUCUGAAUAUGGGGGGACCAUCCUCCAAGGCUAAAUACUCCUGACUGACCGAUAGUGAACCAGUACCGUGAGGGAAAGGCGAAAAGAACCCCGGCGAGGGGAGUGAAAAAGAACCUGAAACCGUGUACGUACAAGCAGUGGGAGCACCCUUUGGGUGUGACUGCGUACCUUUUGUAUAAUGGGUCAGCGACUUAUAUUCUGUAGCAAGGUUAACCGAAUAGGGGAGCCGGAGGGAAACCGAGUCUUAAUUGGGCGUUAAGUUGCAGGGUAUAGACCCGAAACCCGGUGAUCUAGCCAUGGGCAGGUUGAAGGUUGGGUAACACUAACUGGAGGACCGAACCGACUAAUGUUGAAAAAUUAGCGGAUGACCUGUGGCUGGGGGUGAAAGGCCAAUCAAACCGGGAGAUAGCUGGUUCUCCCCGAAAGCUAUUUAGGUAGCGCCUCGUGAAUUCAUCUCCGGGGGUAGAGCACUGUUUCGGCUAGGGGGCCAUCCCGGCUUACCAACCCGAUGCAAACUGCGAAUACCGGAGAAUGUUAUCACGGGAGACACACGGCGGGUGCUAACGUCCGUCGUGAAGAGGGAAACAACCCAGACCGCCAGCUAAGGUCCCAAAGUCAUGGUUAAGUGGGAAACGAUGUGGGAAGGCCCAGACAGCCAGGAUGUUGGCUUAGAAGCAGCCAUCAUUUAAAGAAAGCGUAAUAGCUCACUGGUCGAGUCGGCCUGCGCGGAAGAUGUAACGGGGCUAAACCAUGCACCGAAGCUGCGGCAGCGACACUGUGUGUUGUUGGGUAGGGGAGCGUUCUGUAAGCCUGCGAAGGUGGCCUGUGAGGGUUGCUGGAGGUAUCAGAAGUGCGAAUGCUGACAUAAGUAACGAUAAAGCGGGUGAAAAGCCCGCUCGCCGGAAGACCAAGGGUUCCUGUCCAACGUUAAUCGGGGCAGGGUGAGUCGACCCCUAAGGCGAGGCCGAAAGGCGUAGUCGAUGGGAAACGGGUUAAUAUUCCCGUACUUGGUGUUACUGCGAAGGGGGGACGGAGAAGGCUAUGUUGGCCGGGCGACGGUUGUCCCGGUUUAAGCGUGUAGGUGUGUGUUCCAGGUAAAUCCGGUUCACUUUAACACUGAGGCGUGACGACGAGGCACUACGGUGCUGAAGCAACAAAUGCCCUGCUUCCAGGAAAAGCCUCUAAGCAUCAGGUAACAUCAAAUCGUACCCCAAACCGACACAGGUGGUCAGGUAGAGAAUACCAAGGCGCUUGAGAGAACUCGGGUGAAGGAACUAGGCAAAAUGGUGCCGUAACUUCGGGAGAAGGCACGCUGACACGUAGGUGAAGUGAUUUACUCAUGGAGCUGAAGUCAGUCGAAGAUACCAGCUGGCUGCAACUGUUUAUUAAAAACACAGCACUGUGCAAACACGAAAGUGGACGUAUACGGUGUGACGCCUGCCCGGUGCCGGAAGGUUAAUUGAUGGGGUCAGCGCAAGCGAAGCUCCUGAUCGAAGCCCCGGUAAACGGCGGCCGUAACUAUAACGGUCCUAAGGUAGCGAAAUUCCUUGUCGGGUAAGUUCCGACCUGCACGAAUGGCGUAAUGAUGGCCAGGCUGUCUCCACCCGAGACUCAGUGAAAUUGAACUCGCUGUGAAGAUGCAGUGUACCCGCGGCAAGACGGAAAGACCCCGUGAACCUUUACUAUAGCUUGACACUGAACAUUGAGCCUUGAUGUGUAGGAUAGGUGGGAGGCUUUGAAGUGUGGACGCCAGUCUGCAUGGAGCCGACCUUGAAAUACCACCCUUUAAUGUUUGAUGUUCUAACGUGGACCCGUUACCCGGGUUGCGGACAGUGUCUGGUGGGUAGUUUGACUGGGGCGGUCUCCUCCUAAAGAGUAACGGAGGAGCACGAAGGUUGGCUAAUCCUGGUCGGACAUCAGGAGGUUAGUGCAAUGGCAUAAGCCAGCUUGACUGCGAGCGUGACGGCGCGAGCAGGUGCGAAAGCAGGUCAUAGUGAUCCGGUGGUUCUGAAUGGAAGGGCCAUCGCUCAACGGAUAAAAGGUACUCCGGGGAUAACAGGCUGAUACCGCCCAAGAGUUCAUAUCGACGGCGGUGUUUGGCACCUCGAUGUCGGCUCAUCACAUCCUGGGGCUGAAGUAGGUCCCAAGGGUAUGGCUGUUCGCCAUUUAAAGUGGUACGCGAGCUGGGUUUAGAACGUCGUGAGACAGUUCGGUCCCUAUCUGCCGUGGGCGCUGGAGAACUGAGGGGGGCUGCUCCUAGUACGAGAGGACCGGAGUGGACGCAUCACUGGUGUUCGGGUUGUCAUGCCAAUGGCACUGCCCGGUAGCUAAAUGCGGAAGAGAUAAGUGCUGAAAGCAUCUAAGCACGAAACUUGCCCCGAGAUGAGUUCUCCCUGAGACUUAAAGUCUCCUGAAGGAACGUUGAAGACGACGACGUUGAUAGGCCGGGUGUGUAAGCGCAGCGAUGCGUUGAGCUAACCGGUACUAAUGAACCGUGAGGCUUAACCUUACAACGCCGAAG